RNAcentral lists this small nuclear RNA (306 nucleotides) under Octodon degus (degu). Its description in RNAcentral is "7SK RNA (ENSODEG00000023037.1)". It matches the Rfam family "7SK RNA". Rfam says of the family: 7SK was discovered as an abundant small nuclear RNA in the mid-70s but a possible function has only recently been suggested. Lineage: Eukaryota; Metazoa; Chordata; Mammalia; Rodentia; Octodontidae. The record is from Rfam by way of RNAcentral.
CGAUAUGAGGGCAUUUUGGCUGUGACACGUCACCCCAUUGAUUGCCAGGAUUGAUUUGGCUAAUCUAUUUGGUUAGGAAACUCUCCCUUUCCUCCUUCAAUGCUCCAUGUGCAUCACUCCCAAAAUUGCAGGCUCCAUCAAAGAGGAUGGUGGAGGACUGCUGAUAGAGGAGGACCAUUCCUUGCUCAAGGGUAUAUAAGUAGCUACGCUUUUCUUCUAGAUGCUCCAAACAAGGUCUCAAAAAUAUGUCUGACAUAUAUGAAGUCCUUUACAGGUGAUCCAGUGUUUGACAGUAUCUCUUCAUUU